This 77-nucleotide transfer RNA is filed under the name Tissierella sp. RNAcentral describes it as "tRNA-Ile". It matches the Rfam family "tRNA". Rfam says of the family: Transfer RNA (tRNA) molecules are approximately 80 nucleotides in length. Their secondary structure includes four short double-helical elements and three loops (D, anti-codon, and T loops). The record is from RNAcentral. Lineage: Bacteria; Bacillati; Bacillota; Tissierellia; Tissierellales; Tissierellaceae. RNAcentral also lists the same sequence under 2 other names.
GGACCUGUAGCUCAGUUGGUUAGAGCGCACGCCUGAUAAGCGUGAGGUCGGUGGUUCGAAUCCACCCAGGUCCACCA